Molecule: long non-coding RNA, 1324 nt
Organism: Cydia fagiglandana
Lineage: Eukaryota; Metazoa; Arthropoda; Insecta; Lepidoptera; Tortricidae
Exons: 3
Source: RefSeq, a predicted model, not a curated record
UUUCCGAAAAUACGAAUAGAAGUACGCACGAUAAACGCCAAAAAGUUGGUAUUUAAAUAUUUAUCAUUUUAUUUAAAUCGUCGUCCGUGGUUCUUGCUUGUGUGAGUUAUAAGAGAUAAGAGAUCUUUAUUUGCAUACCAUAGUACAGAUGUUAUAUACAUGGACCCUGGAAAGGGUGUAGCAAAAUUGGUGGUUAACAAUUUAGUUCAUUUAGUUAUAUAGUUAACAAUAGUUUUGGUUAUUAUUACUACUGACUUAUACUUAGGUUCGAUAUUAUAAUACUUAUAUAUACAUUAAUAGAUGGUCAAGCAAAUCUUGUCAGUUAAAAAAGGCGCGAAAUUCAAAUUUUCUAUGAGACGAUAUCCCUUCGCGCCUACGUUUUUCAAAUUUGCCGCCUUUUUCUACUGACAAAAUCUGCUUGACCGACUAUAAAUGUCACUGUGCCUUCACCUGCGGACUCAACCUUCACGUUAUAUUUUUUUUAAUAUUUACGCUGUCAUAGUAACGGAAAUAAUAAACACGAUACGUCAAUCGAAGUGAAGAAAUUUAUAUCCAAUAAAAAAAUGCAAAAUCAUAUUAUCGCAUAGAAACGAUUUACCGAUUAUACAAGUUACAUUUAAAAAAAGAUGAUUAUCUUGGAAAGGAUACACAGUUUCAGGAACGCGUGAAAAACGAAAGUUUAAAAGAGAAUAAAUUUCCGAUGGCUGUGGGAAUGUAUAACAACAUUUUAAAGUAUCGAUAUAAGAUAAUCAUCUAUAAACUGUUUUCGGCCAUAGCGAAUACGUUUACCACUAAGAAUGUCUCAAAGUAAAAAAAAGAAGUUCAAUGUACUGGCAUUGGUUUCACCAAGAACGAUGAGCGAGAAGCGAUUAGAGCUAGAAAACUGGAAACGAGUUGGGGCGUCCGGCUGCGACCGAAGCGAGUUUUUGAAUGCGAGUUUGACGUUUUAAACACCGUAUUUAAGGUUAAUAAGGUCUACAAGCUUCGAGAAGUAGGUCAACCGCCGAAUCCAACUCGGUUGGGCAGCGUUCGGGAAACUACGUAAUGUCUUUUCGUCCGACAUACCUCAGUGCCUCAAGACGAAAGUCUUUAAUCAAUGUGUGUUACCAGUGAUAACUUACGGCUCCGAAACGUGGUCUUUCACUAUCGGCCUCAUCUCAAAAUUCAAAGUCGCUCAACGAGCUAUGGAGAGGGCUAUGCUCGGAGUUUCUCUGCGUGAUCGAAUCAGAAAUGAGGAGAUCCGUAGACGAACUAAAGUCACCGACAUAGCCCACCGGAUUAGCAAGCUGAAGUGGCAAUGGGCAGGCCACAUUGCGCGCAGAGA